UACAGAGGUCCCAAGCGUUGUUCGGAUUCACUGGGCGUAAAGGGUGCGUAGGUGGUUGGGUAAGUCUAAUGUGAAAUCUCCGAGCCUAACUCGGAAACUGCAUCGGAUACUAUCUGGCUAGAGGAUUGGAGGGGGGACUGGAAUACUUGGUGUAGCAGUGAAAUGCGUAGAUAUCAAGUGGAACACCAGUGGCGAAGGCGAGUCCCUGGACAAUUCCUGACACUGAGGCACGAAAGCUAGGGGAGCAAACAGG
Molecule: ribosomal RNA, 253 nt
Filed under: uncultured bacterium
Lineage: Bacteria
Description: partial 16S ribosomal RNA
Rfam family: Bacterial small subunit ribosomal RNA
Source: RNAcentral